GUGUUGUAUGAAAGGACAGAAAGUUAACACUUCUCUUGAUAGGGAUGGAAGAGGCCCUGGGGCCUGACAACAAGCAUACGGGUAAGGCGUUGCCACCUACUUCAUGGCAUCCAACCAUCAUUUUUA
This is a small nuclear RNA of Aotus nancymaae (Ma's night monkey), 126 nucleotides long. Lineage: Eukaryota; Metazoa; Chordata; Mammalia; Primates; Aotidae. The record is from Ensembl.